Molecule: ribosomal RNA, 902 nt
Filed under: Cladosporium cladosporioides
Lineage: Eukaryota; Fungi; Ascomycota; Dothideomycetes; Cladosporiales; Cladosporiaceae
Description: LSU rRNA
Rfam family: Eukaryotic large subunit ribosomal RNA
Source: RNAcentral
UAAGCAUAUCAAUAAGCGGAGGAAAAGAAACCAACAGGGAUUGCUCUAGUAACGGCGAGUGAAGCAGCAAUAGCUCAAAUUUGAAAUCUGGCGUCUUCGACGUCCGAGUUGUAAUUUGUAGAGGAUGCUUCUGAGUAACCACCGACCUAAGUUCCUUGGAACAGGACGUCAUAGAGGGUGAGAAUCCCGUAUGCGGUCGGAAAGGUGCUCUAUACGUAGCUCCUUCGACGAGUCGAGUUGUUUGGGAAUGCAGCUCUAAAUGGGAGGUAAAUUUCUUCUAAAGCUAAAUAUUGGCCAGAGACCGAUAGCGCACAAGUAGAGUGAUCGAAAGAUGAAAAGCACUUUGGAAAGAGAGUUAAAAAGCACGUGAAAUUGUUAAAAGGGAAGGGAUUGCAACCAGACUUGCUCGCGGUGUUCCGCCGGUCUUCUGACCGGUCUACUCGCCGCGUUGCAGGCCAGCAUCGUCUGGUGCCGCUGGAUAAGACUUGAGGAAUGUAGCUCCCUCGGGAGUGUUAUAGCCUCUUGUGAUGCAGCGAGCGCCGGGCGAGGUCCGCGCUUCGGCUAGGAUGCUGGCGUAAUGGUCGUAAUCCGCCCGUCUUGAAACACGGACCAAGGAGUCUAACAUCUAUGCGAGUGUUCGGGUGUCAAACCCCUACGCGUAAUGAAAGUGAACGGAGGUGAGAACCGCAAGGUGCAUCAUCGACCGAUCCUGAUGUCUUCGGAUGGAUUUGAGUAAGAGCAUAGCUGUUGGGACCCGAAAGAUGGUGAACUAUGCCUGAAUAGGGUGAAGCCAGAGGAAACUCUGGUGGAGGCUCGCAGCGGUUCUGACGUGCAAAUCGAUCGUCAAAUUUGGGUAUAGGGGCGAAAGACUAAUCGAACCAUCUAGUAGCUGGUUCCUGCCG